This is a long non-coding RNA of Lagopus leucura (white-tailed ptarmigan), 414 nucleotides long. RefSeq lists it as uncharacterized. The transcript is spliced from 3 exons. NCBI's taxonomy places the organism in Eukaryota, Metazoa, Chordata, Aves, Galliformes, Phasianidae. The record is from RefSeq and is a predicted model, not a curated record.
GAUCUCUCUUCUGGAGGUUUGUAGCGAGUCCAGGACAUGGUAGAAAGACACUUUAUUUGAGUGAUUGCUCCUGUAGCCGUGGAAUCCCUCUGAGCCACAAGCGGAAAGAGGGCUGGACUCAGUGCCAUAAGUUUUGUUUCACACGCUGCUGCAAUGAACCCACCAAGCAGACUUCAUACCAAGUUGGUAGGGACUUGGACUGGCAACACAGAAAUGAAAGGCUUCAUUCUCUAUUCAUGGUCUUAUAAACUGCUAACUCCCACUCGAAUUGCUCCACUGGAUUCUUACUGAACUCACUGAAAUUUCACCUGGCCAACUGAGAAGGAGACACCCGCCUUCACAAAUGCCAUCAUCCACGAGGACCCCAAAGAAAGCAGAAUCAGAAAUUUUUCAAUAGCUCUGUGUGUGUGUGUG